AGUGAACGCUGGCGGUAGGCCUAACACAUGCAAGUCGAACGGCAGCACAGUAAGAGCUUGCUCUUACGGGUGGCGAGUGGCGGACGGGUGAGGAAUACAUCGGAAUCUACUUUUUCGUGGGGGAUAACGUAGGGAAACUUACGCUAAUACCGCAUACGACCUACGGUUGAAAGCAGGGGAUCUUCGGACCUUGCGCGAUUGAAUGAGCCGAUGUCGGAUUAGCUAGUUGGCGGGGUAAAGGCCCACCAAGGCGACGAUCCGUAGCUGGUCGGAGAGGAUGAUCAGCCACACUGGAACUGAGACACGGUCCAGACUCCUACGGGAGGCAGCAGUGGGGAAUAUUGGACAAUGGGCGCAAGCCUGAUCCAGCCAUACCGCGUGGGUGAAGAAGGCCUUCGGGUUGUAAAGCCCUUUUGUUGGGAAAGAAAAGCAGCAGGUUAAUACCCCGCUGUUCUGACGGUACCCGAAGAAUAAGCACCGGCUAACUUCGUG
RNAcentral lists this ribosomal RNA (492 nucleotides) under uncultured bacterium. RNAcentral describes it as "partial 16S ribosomal RNA". It matches the Rfam family "Bacterial small subunit ribosomal RNA", at positions 29 to 507 of the family's 1533-position model. The record is from RNAcentral.